UUUCCGUAGGUGAACCUGCGGAAGGAUCAUUAAAGAGAUCAUGCCCUCACGGGUAGACCUCCCACCCUUUGUUUACAAUACCUUUGUUGCUUUGGCGGGCCCGUUUGGCCCCGCGCUGAACAACCGGCCCCGGCUGGUCAGUGCCCGCCAGAGAACCGAAAACUCUGAAUUAAAUGUCGUCUGAGUACUAUGUAAUAGUUAAAACUUUCAACAACGGAUCUCUUGGUUCUG
Molecule: unclassified non-coding RNA, 231 nt
Filed under: plant metagenome
Description: partial contains small subunit ribosomal RNA, internal transcribed spacer 1, and 5.8S ribosomal RNA
Source: RNAcentral